Lycium ferocissimum is the source of this 582-nucleotide long non-coding RNA. RefSeq lists it as uncharacterized. The transcript has 2 exons. Lineage: Eukaryota; Viridiplantae; Streptophyta; Magnoliopsida; Solanales; Solanaceae. The record is from RefSeq and is a predicted model, not a curated record.
UUUCUAUGUGCUACACUUUCCUAAAAGCUUGGUUGAUCGGGAACAAUUCCAACUAGGGGUCGUUCGGUUACUGGUUAGAGUUAUGCAGAUAUUAGUAACGCAGCCCAGUUAUGCAGGGUUUAGUUAUUCCAUCUUCUACCCUGCAUAAAAUAUAUAUUAAUUGGCUCAUAACUCAUAACUGUUUCAGUUAUGCGGAUUGUAAAUUGGUAACCAAGCGCGUUACUUGGUACGCGGAAUUUUAUACGUAGCAACUAAAAUGCUACCAAACAUGGUACUAGUUAUGCUAGUCUUAAUACAUGAAUAAUUCACUUCCUAACCAGCAAAAGUGCUUACUUACCUUCUAAUGUUUUACAAUGAAAAGUUAGAUUCUUUUUUUUCUUUUUUCGGAGGGGUGGAAAAAAAAACUAGAUUCACUAUGUCUGAUGGUUCAGUUAUGCUCUUUAAAAUUCACCCCCUUAAAAAAUGGAGAGACUUUUAGUCACCUUUCAGCUUAUGAUUGGUUUACAAAUUCUAAGUCAUCUCAUGCUUCGAUGUUUUCUGGUAUUUAGUUAUUCCUAUCGUUGAAUUAUAUUUCACUUAUUU